UACGUAGGGCGCAAGCGUUAUCCGGAAUUAUUGGGCGUAAAGAGCUCGUAGGCGGUUUGUCGCGUCUGCCGUGAAAGUCCGGGGCUCAACCCUCGAAUGCCGGUGGAUACUGUCGGGCUAGAGUGCGGAAGAGGCGAGUGGAAUUCCUGGUGUAGCGGUGAAAUGCGCAGAUAUCAGGAGGAACACCUAUUGCGAAGGCAGCUCGCUGGGACGUAACUGACGCUGAGACGCGAAAGCGUGGGGAGCAAACAGG
Molecule: ribosomal RNA, 253 nt
Filed under: uncultured bacterium
Lineage: Bacteria
Description: partial 16S ribosomal RNA
Rfam family: Bacterial small subunit ribosomal RNA
Source: RNAcentral